UGGUUGCGGGGGCUGGAUUUGAACCAGCGACCUUCAGGUUAUGAGCCUGACGAGCUACCAAGCUGCUCCACCCCGCG
This 77-nucleotide transfer RNA is filed under the name Candidatus Midichloria mitochondrii IricVA. Its description in RNAcentral is "tRNA-Met". Lineage: Bacteria; Pseudomonadati; Pseudomonadota; Alphaproteobacteria; Rickettsiales; Candidatus Midichloriaceae. The record is from RNAcentral.